This 117-nucleotide ribosomal RNA is filed under the name Sinocyclocheilus anshuiensis. The record is from RNAcentral. Lineage: Eukaryota; Metazoa; Chordata; Actinopteri; Cypriniformes; Cyprinidae.
UGCCACAGCCAUAUCACCCUGCAGCCCAAGACUGGUUGCCCACUGAAGCUAAGCAGGGUUGAGCCUGGUCAGUACCUGGUUGGGAGACCUCCUGGGAAAACUAGAUUGCUGUUGGAA